This 484-nucleotide ribosomal RNA is filed under the name Vietnamophryne sp. LTN-2019a. RNAcentral's name for it is "partial 16S ribosomal RNA". It matches the Rfam family "Bacterial large subunit ribosomal RNA", at positions 1974 to 2624 of the family's 2925-position model. The record is from RNAcentral. Lineage: Eukaryota; Metazoa; Chordata; Amphibia; Anura; Microhylidae.
CUUUAUAUAAGGACUAGUAUGAACGGCAUCACGAGGGUUACACUGUCUCCCCUGUUCAAUCAGUGAAACUAAUCCCCCCGUGAAGAAGCGGGGAUAUUUUUAUAAGACGAGAAGACCCCAUGGAGCUUUAAACCCAGUAUCACUUGCAUCCAUUACACCAUGUAAAUUAGCAAACCUGACUACUAGUUUUUGGUUGGGGGUGACCGCGGAGCAAAAUAAAACCUCCACAACGAAUGGAACUAACUUCCUAAUCAAAGAGCUACAACUCACAGAAUCAACAUAUUGACUAAAAUUGACCAAUAAUUUUGAACAACGAAACAAAGUUACCUGGGGAUAACAGCGCAAUUCAAUUUCAAGAGCCCCUAUCGACAAAUGGGGUUUACGACCUCCAUGUUGGAUCAGGUUGUCCAAGUGGUGGAGCCACUACUAAAGGUUCGUUGGUUCACGAUUAAAACCCUCCUGAAUCGGAGUUUCGAACCGGAGA